UGAGACAUCUGGUGGCACCCGCUUGAAUUGCUGGAGACAACAAGGAGGAAGAGAAGAGGGUAUUAUAUUACUGGGGAAGGGGAGGAUAGUGUAGUGUUUGCUGGGGAAGGAGGAGAUUAUGUGUACUUGCUGGAAAAAGAAGAAAAAAGUGCGUGUGUUUACUGAAGAAGGAAAAGGAAGCACGUCUGUUUACUAGGGACGACAACAACAAUGCAAUAACGACGUUUGUUAACCAUGUGCUUGAACAUAAGUGCUUCUGGGAGACACUGAACACGGCUACAGACGCAGAAGGAGAAUAGAAAACGGACCACGGAAGCCCUGCCAAGCUGACCAGAGGCACGGAAGGGUGAGGAAAGGAAAGAAUUAGCGAGCAAUCAACUGUAGCCUGAUCCUUCAUCCUCGCUCAUUGAAAAGCCGCCACUUGAGACUGAAAGAAGAGGACGAGGACGAGGAAGAGGAAGAGGACGAGAUGAAGUAGAGGAGGACCCAGAGAGGCACACUUGCAUCACUUACUUAACGAGUCACACACACCUGCCGCGCUUCAGAAAGUGUUUGAUUACCAAGUCUACGCCAUUCGUCUAACGAGUCGUGGAAGUGUGGAAGACAUGACAAAGAAGAGGAAGGCAUGGGAUGAGGUGGAAAGACUGCACUGAAGAACACACGAGACGAAGGAAUAAGCGGAAGAAUGACACAAAAAAAAAAAAAAAAUAGAAAAGAUUCAUUAAAAAUAUCGACCAAGAAUAGAAAUUUAAGUUAAAAAGAAGAAAAAGAAGGAUAAGAUGGAAGGAAAGAAUGCAUUAAAGAACACACGAGAUGAAGGAAUAAAAGAAAUAAUGGCACAAAACAGACACACUUGGAAAAUAUUAAUUAAAAACAGCGACUACGAAUAGAGAUUUAAGCUAUAAAGAAAAAAAGGAGAAGGAUAAGGUGGGAGGAAAGAAUGCAUUAAAGAACACGAGAGACUAAAGAAUAAGCGAAAGAAUGGCACAAGACAGACACACACUUAGAAAAGAUUAAUUAAAACAGUGAUUCCGAAUAAAGAUUUAAGCUAAGAAGAAGAGCAACAACAAGAACAAGAACAAGAAAGAAGGAGAAAAGGAAGAAAAUAAACAAAUUAAGGAGAAAACGAAAAAAUAAAAGAAGAAAAUAAAUAAAAAUAAUAAGUUUAAACAGGCCAGCGUGGUGAGGAGGGAAGGUGAAAGAAACAAGAACUGCGGGACUCCUCUCUUUGCCCCUCCUGACGCCCCCAAAGACCCUACAUAUUUGAACGCGACGCAGCGCACUAUUCCUAAAAGAUUGGUCUUCUUGCUUUCGUGUUUCCUGUGUGC
This is a long non-coding RNA of Scylla paramamosain (green mud crab), 1328 nucleotides long. RefSeq lists it as uncharacterized. The transcript has 3 exons. NCBI's taxonomy places the organism in Eukaryota, Metazoa, Arthropoda, Malacostraca, Decapoda, Portunidae. The record is from RefSeq and is a predicted model, not a curated record.